UUUUCUGUCUCUCUGGUGCAGUGGUUCUAAACAGUUCAACAGUUCUUACCAAAAUUGUGAAAUGUUUAGGACCACUUGAUCAGGGGGAUGAUAG
Lepisosteus oculatus (spotted gar) is the source of this 94-nucleotide microRNA precursor. Ensembl annotates it as microRNA 203a. Its record names the gene mir203a. The record is from Ensembl. NCBI's taxonomy places the organism in Eukaryota, Metazoa, Chordata, Actinopteri, Semionotiformes, Lepisosteidae.